UUAAGACUAGAUGGGUAUCCCUACAUAGCGGGUGGGACCCACGGCGAAUGGUUCAUCAAGUCUUCAAAAAAGAAUAUAUACGAUUGCAUUGCAUAUACUAACGGAUGCGAUCAUACCAGCACUAAUGCACCGGAUCCCAUCAGAACUCCGCAGUUAAGCGUGCUUGGGCGAGAGUAGUACUAGGAUGGGUGAUCUCCCGG
This 200-nucleotide ribosomal RNA is filed under the name Arabidopsis thaliana (thale cress). Lineage: Eukaryota; Viridiplantae; Streptophyta; Magnoliopsida; Brassicales; Brassicaceae. The record is from RNAcentral.